Molecule: ribosomal RNA, 775 nt
Filed under: uncultured Neocallimastigales
Lineage: Eukaryota; Fungi; Neocallimastigomycota; Neocallimastigomycetes; Neocallimastigales
Description: partial large subunit ribosomal RNA
Rfam family: Eukaryotic large subunit ribosomal RNA
Source: RNAcentral
UACUAGAGUAGCACUCGCAUAUCAAUAAGCGGAGGAAAAGAAACUAACAAGGAUUCCCCUAGUAACGGCGAGUGAAGCGGGAAGAGCUCAAAUUUGAAAUCUUAAAGGGUUUCCCUUUACGAAUUGUAGUUUAAAGAAGUGUUUUCUGUUGAGGUUUUGGUAAAAGUUCUUUGGAAUAGGACAUCAUAGAGGGUGAGGAAUCCCGUAUUUGACCUUUACUUUCAACUUUGUGAUACACUUUCAAAGAGUCGGAUUGUUUGGGAAUGCAGUCCAAAAUGGGUGGUAAAUUUCAUCUAAAGCUAAAUAUCGGCGAGAGACCGAUAGCGAACAAGUACCGUGAGGGAAAGAUGAAAAGAACUUUGAAAAGAGAGUUAAACAGUACGUGAAAUUGUCAAAAGGGAAGCGUUUGACACCAGUGUUGUUUUUCUGAAAAUCAAUUAAAGAACUGUUUAUGCUAAGUUGUUUAGACUUUAUCAGCUAACUGUUUAGUUUUGAGCUUUUCUUUAAUGCACUUUUCAGUUAACAAGUCAACAUCAAUUUCUUUUGCUGUAAAAAAGCUUGAGGAAGGUGGCUUGAGAUUCGUCUUAAGUGUUUAUAGCCUCUUGCCUAUGCAGUCGGAGAGAUUGAGGUCUGCAGCGUAGAUCCUUCGGGGCUAAAUGCAUUUGUGCUAAGUUAUAGCAUUUUAUAGACAACUUGUUGACUAUGAUUUGUCUUGUAGCUUACUCGCUUAUGUUAUUUUACCUACGCUUAGGAUGUUGAGCGCAUGUCUCUCUCU